AAGUUUAGGUUAAACAAACCAGGAGCCUUCAAAGCCCCAAACAAGAAUAAAUCUUAGCUUCU
This 62-nucleotide transfer RNA is filed under the name Cyrtodactylus annulatus. RNAcentral describes it as "tRNA-Trp". Lineage: Eukaryota; Metazoa; Chordata; Lepidosauria; Squamata; Gekkonidae. The record is from RNAcentral.